Molecule: ribosomal RNA, 301 nt
Filed under: uncultured bacterium
Lineage: Bacteria
Description: partial 16S ribosomal RNA
Rfam family: Bacterial small subunit ribosomal RNA
Source: RNAcentral
CGCAGCCGCGGUAAUACGAAGGGUGCAAGCGUUACUCGGAAUUACUGGGCGUAAAGCGUGCGUAGGUGGUGGUUUAAGUCCGUUGUGAAAGCCCUGGGCUCAACCUGGGAAUUGCAGUGGAUACUGGGUCACUAGAGUGUGGUAGAGGAUAGUGGAAUUUCCGGUGUAGCAGUGAAAUGCGUAGAGAUCGGAAGGAACAUCUGUGGCGAAGGCGACUAUCUGGGCCAACACUGACACUGAGGCACGAAAGCGUGGGGAGCAAACAGGAUUAGAUACCCCCGUAGUCCCUGUCUCUUAUACA